RNAcentral lists this ribosomal RNA (855 nucleotides) under Trichoderma longibrachiatum. Its description in RNAcentral is "eukaryotic LSU rRNA". The stretch from base 502 to 655 matches the Rfam family "5.8S ribosomal RNA". The record is from RNAcentral. Lineage: Eukaryota; Fungi; Ascomycota; Sordariomycetes; Hypocreales; Hypocreaceae.
UAAUCCAUGCAGACAAAGGCUCGUGGUGAAGGUUGAUUCAUUGGCAGACCCGCCAGGGUCGCCAGGAAUGCUCAGAGCAAAAAAUAAAACAGGGCGCGAGGGCCGGAGAGAGGAAAAAAAAAGAGGUUGAGUGUCCUCCGCGGCGCCCAUGGAUCGGGUGCGACGCGCCCCGGGCAAGAGAAUCCCGCCCGAGGCAACAGAUUGGUAACGUUCACAUUGGGGUUUGGGAGUGUAAAACUCGUAUUUCUGCAAGGGGGUGAGUGCGGAGGGAUCAUUACCGAGUUUACAACUCCCAAACCCCAAUGUGAACGUUACCAAUCUGUUGCCUCGGCGGGAUUCUCUUGCCCCGGGCGCGUCGCAGCCCCGGAUCCCAUGGCGCCCGCCGGAGGACCAACUCCAAACUCUUUUUUUCUUUCCGUCGCGGCUCCCGUCGCGGCUCUGUUUUAUUUUUGCUCUGAGCCUUUCUCGGCGACCCUAGCGGGCGUCUCGAAAAUGAAUCAAAACUUUCAACAACGGAUCUCUUGGUUCUGGCAUCGAUGAAGAACGCAGCGAAAUGCGAUAAGUAAUGUGAAUUGCAGAAUUCAGUGAAUCAUCGAAUCUUUGAACGCACAUUGCGCCCGCCAGUAUUCUGGCGGGCAUGCCUGUCCGAGCGUCAUUUCAACCCUCGAACCCCUCCGGGGGGUCGGCGUUGGGGAUCGGCCCCUCACCGGGCCGCCCCCGAAAUACAGUGGCGGUCUCGCCGCAGCCUCUCCUGCGCAGUAGUUUGCACACUCGCACCGGGAGCGCGGCGCGGCCACAGCCGUAAAACACCCCAAACUUCUGAAAUGUUGACCUCGGAUCAGGUACGGAUUCACC